This 442-nucleotide ribosomal RNA is filed under the name uncultured bacterium. RNAcentral's name for it is "partial 16S ribosomal RNA". It matches the Rfam family "Bacterial small subunit ribosomal RNA", at positions 338 to 795 of the family's 1533-position model. The record is from RNAcentral.
CCUACGGGGUGCUGCAGUGGGGAAUAUUGGGCAAUGGGCGCAAGCCUGACCCAGCAACGCCGCGUGAAGGAAGAAGGCUUUCGGGUUGUAAACUUCUAUUGACAGGGAAGAGCAGAAGACGGUACCUGUCGAAUAAGCCACGGCUAACUACGUGCCAGCAGCCGCGGUAAGUCGUAGGUGGCAAGCGUUGUCCGGAUUUACUGGGUGGAAAGGGCGUGUAGCCGGGCUGACAAGUCAGAUAUGAAAUCCGGGGGCUCAACCCCCGAACUGCAUUUGAAACCGUUGGGCUUGAGUAUCGGAGAGGCAGGCGGAAUUCCUAGUGUAGCGGUGAAAUGCGUAGAUAUUAGGAGGAACACCAGUGGCGAAGGCGGCCUGCUGGACGACAACUGACGGUGAGGCGCGAAAGCGUGGGGAGCAAACAGGAUUAGAUACCCGAGUAGUC